CUUGGUCAUUUAGAGGAAGUAAAAGUCGUAACAAGGUUUCCGUAGGUGAACCUGCGGAAGGAUCAUUACUGUGAUUUAUCCACCACACUGCGUGGGCGACACGAAACACCGAAACCGAACGCACGCCGUCAAGCAAGAAAUCCACAAAACUUUCAACAACGGAUCUCUUGGUUCUCGCAUCGAUGAAGAGCGCAGCGAAAUGCGAUACCUAGUGUGAAUUGCAGCCAUCGUGAAUCAUCGAGUUCUUGAACGCACAUUGCGCCCGCUGGUAUUCCGGCGGGCAUGCCUGUCUGAGCGUCGUUUCCUUCUUGGAGCGGAGCUUCAGACCUGGCGGGCUGUCUUUUUGGACGGCGCGCCCAAAGCGAGGGGCCUUCUGCGCGAACUAGACUGUGCGCGCGGGGCGGCCGGCGAACUUUUUACCAAGCUCGACCUCAGAUCAGGCAGGAGUACCCGCUGAACUUAAGCAUAUCAAUAAGCGGAGGAAAUCGAAUUCCCGCGGCC
RNAcentral lists this ribosomal RNA (501 nucleotides) under Pichia fermentans. Its description in RNAcentral is "eukaryotic LSU rRNA". The stretch from base 148 to 300 matches the Rfam family "5.8S ribosomal RNA". The record is from RNAcentral. Lineage: Eukaryota; Fungi; Ascomycota; Pichiomycetes; Pichiales; Pichiaceae.